This is a non-coding RNA of Solanum lycopersicum (tomato), 1561 nucleotides long. The record is from RefSeq and is a predicted model, not a curated record. NCBI's taxonomy places the organism in Eukaryota, Viridiplantae, Streptophyta, Magnoliopsida, Solanales, Solanaceae.
GUUACACAUUGCCGAUUUCCUGGUUAGAGCCACCUUAGUAUAUCAGCAAUGGUUACACAUUGCCGAUUUCCUGGUUAGAGCCACCUUAGUAUAUCAGCAAUGGAAUUCUGCUAGCAACAGCAAGCACCAAGGGUACACUAAUCCGGAUUUUCAACACGCUAGAAGGUACAUUGUUGCAGGAAGGUAAGGAAUUUGUGUCGUCAUUGUUUUAGUUUGAUCAUGUUUUGCAUACUCUUUUGUUACAUAACGUGAAGUAAUCGCAGCAUCUCUGUUACUCAUAGUAUUUUUUUCCCCUUGUCGGGCCAAAAUAAGAAUACUUAAUGAUGGAGGCGAUAUUGACAUUGUUAUAUGGACUAUAAUUUUUUAUGUUGCUGCUUUAGUGGAGAUCUCCAGUCGCUUUAAAUUCCCUUUACCUGUUGUCAGCCUUCAUUUCUGUUCUUACGAUGAUUCAGCAUAAUGCCAACUGGCUGAUCAUCCAAAUUAUAUUUUUUAGUUCUUUGCCAACAACUUACUGGAGCAGUUUUACGUUUCCUCAUUACGUUUUACCAAUUUAGCUUGCAGUAUUCUGAUAUUAUCAACCCUCUAUAUCUGGGUCAAACACUACAUAUUAUCAAAAAUAAAAUACAAUAUUUGAAAUCUAGAAAUGUGUAUGGUUUUUCACCCUUUUACAGUUUACUCCCUUGAACCCAAAACAAGUUUAAUAGACAUCGUUUGCUACUACUUCUUUUUCUAUCUUGAAUGAGUUUUCCUCCCAUAAUGUCAACUACAAGAGUAAUUUCUACAUUUUGUCAUCCUCAUCCAUAGUAUGAUGCCGGACAUAAUUGAUAAUGAUUGUAAGAUUGAACUUUUUUUAUGGCUUUCUAUUUCUUCUUAGCCUGCCUAUACGAUUUCUUUGAACUUCCAACUAACAGCAUUACAUGUUUGUCUUUUGCUAAAUCACGUAUGAUUCAGGUAAGAAGGGGUUUGGAUAGAGCAGAAAUAUAUAGUUUGUCAUUCUCUCCAACUGCUCAGUGUCUAGCUGUCUCCAGCGACAAAGGCACUGUUUCACAUAGUCAUAAAGCUCUCGGACUCUUCCCAAGUAUUUUAGCUCAGAAUGGUCUGUGGCUCAAUUCCGACUGCCUGGUGUUUCUCAUUACAUUGUUACAUUUGGCAACGAAAAUAAUACACUUAUAAUUCUCGGCUGGGACGGAAGCUUUUUCAGAUGCAAGUUUGAUCCAGCAUCCAGCAAAGAAAUGACUCAGUUGGAAUAUCACAACUUUCUGGAUCCUGAAGAACCUUGUAAUUGAAAGUGUGGAUGAUGUUCGUGACCAAGAAGGUUACUAUGGCUUCCCCUUCAUUGCAAAUAGUAGGUUAAAGUCUCUUUUAAGCACAGAAUAUAGGCAAGUUAGCAUAUACAACCAACAGACUUCAAUUUGUUGAUGUACAAAAAAAGAAAGAAGAUUUUGAUAUAGUUGAGUGAAAAUGUAUAUCCAGAGUUUCCAACAACAAACAAUUCCUUGUAUAGUAAAGAUGCAUGAGUUUUCCCUUUUCGUAGAAGUAUAAUUGUUUUGCCUUCUUGUUA